RNAcentral lists this long non-coding RNA (332 nucleotides) under Zostera marina. RNAcentral's name for it is "long non-coding RNA (ZMAR_LNC000028)". Lineage: Eukaryota; Viridiplantae; Streptophyta; Magnoliopsida; Alismatales; Zosteraceae. The record is from RNAcentral.
GAACAGAUGAAACACCUAAUUGCAGUCCAAGUGGAGGAACAAAAGAAAUGCUUAAUUGUGAUCGAAUUUUUGGAACAGAUGAAAUACUUAAUUGCAAUCAAAGUAUCGGAACAUAUGAAUCGCCUAAUUGCAAUCAAAAUAUCAGAACAUAUGAAUCGCCUAAUUGCAAUCAAAGUAUUGAAAGAUAUGAAACAUUAAAUUGCAAUCAAAGUGUUGGAACAUAUGAAACGUCUAUUUGCGAUCAAAGUGUUGGAGCAGAUGAAACGUUUAAUUGUGAUCAAAGUGUUGGAACAGAUGAAACACCUAUUUGCGAUCAAAGUGUUGGAACAGAU